GUCGACAACUCUCCCAAGGACACGGAGAAUAACUUGGUACAUGUCUUAAGGAAAAACUCAUACAAAAGGGCAAUACUAUUUCCUUACAACUUCGCGUUUCACUAUAUCCUGCUAGUCAUUGAACCCGACACCGGGAUAGUAGAAGUCAUGGACUCGAAGAGUAAACCCCUUGAGGCGUGGGGGGACAUGGCUGAUAUCCUCCACAAGGCUUGGAAACGGUUCACCAACAAAGCUCCGGGUUUAAAGAAUAAAGAUCUUCGAAUAAAACAUGUACCGGUAAGUACUAAUGGCUAGGCCGCGCAUCUCUUUGAUUCUAGUUUCAAUACAAUUAUUAUCAUCCUUGAUUAUAUAUAUAUUAUUUUGAUUGAACUUUGUUCUCGUAAAGUGCUUGAGGCAAGAGGACGGGAAUAAUUUAUGCGGGUUCUACGUUUGCGAGUUCAUCCGCCAGAAUACCCAUCAUGUGAGGGACAUUUUGGAACAACUUGAUAUCGAACGGUUGCGGGACGGUCUUCUAGCAACAGAGCGUGUACGAGCAAUUCAAGAAGAACUGGCGGGGUUCUUACUUGAGCAAGUCAUAGCUCCAGAUGGAGAACACUA
This is a long non-coding RNA of Lolium perenne, 597 nucleotides long. RefSeq lists it as uncharacterized. NCBI's taxonomy places the organism in Eukaryota, Viridiplantae, Streptophyta, Magnoliopsida, Poales, Poaceae. The record is from RefSeq and is a predicted model, not a curated record.